Polypterus senegalus (gray bichir) is the source of this 263-nucleotide long non-coding RNA. RefSeq lists it as uncharacterized. The record is from RefSeq and is a predicted model, not a curated record. The transcript has 2 exons. Lineage: Eukaryota; Metazoa; Chordata; Cladistia; Polypteriformes; Polypteridae.
CUGGAGAGCAGGAUCAUGCUAUUCUGGGUGAAGUGGUGAGCAGUUUGCCAGGUCCUGUAGCUGUAAUGAAGAAAAGCAUCUCCAAAGGUGGUAUAAUCACUACAGACUCCUCUUCAAAGCAACUGAAGGUGCAGACUGGCCAGCCUCUUUGGACAACUCUCCUGGUGGUUGGAGUGGUCCUUAUGGUGGCUACCUUAGCUUUUGCAUGUUUUGCAUCUGGAUUUCAAAGGAAUAAGUUUACCAAAUAAAAAUUUUCUACUGUA